ACUUGGCUGGCUCAGUUGGUAGAGCAUGUGACUCUUGGUCUCAGGGUCAUGAGUUCAGGCCCCCAUGUUGGGUG
Molecule: non-coding RNA, 74 nt
Organism: Mustela putorius furo (domestic ferret)
Lineage: Eukaryota; Metazoa; Chordata; Mammalia; Carnivora; Mustelidae
Source: Rfam